GGGCUGAUACUCAAGUUGGUGAAGAGGGCACCCUGCUAAGGUGUUAGGUCGUUUACACGGCGCGAGAGUUCGAACCUCUCUCAGUCCGCCA
This 91-nucleotide transfer RNA is filed under the name Williamsoniiplasma somnilux. RNAcentral's name for it is "Entomoplasma somnilux tRNA-Ser". It matches the Rfam family "tRNA". Rfam says of the family: Transfer RNA (tRNA) molecules are approximately 80 nucleotides in length. Their secondary structure includes four short double-helical elements and three loops (D, anti-codon, and T loops). Lineage: Bacteria; Bacillati; Mycoplasmatota; Mollicutes; Entomoplasmatales. The record is from RNAcentral.